CCUCGGUCCUCAAGACCUAACGUCAAAAACGAUAACAGCACAGAUUUUAAGAGGGCUGUGCAAUUGCAAACGCACAGCUAUUAUCUCAUUUCAUGCUCCUAACAAUCCUAUGAGCCUUGUUCUGUAAAGGGGUCCAUGGCCUUCAGCAAUCUGCGGAAAGUGUUAGCUCAAAGAUUCCUGGAAUGCCUUGGGGAGCCUGCCUUGAUCUUACAUCCCUACUUUGGAAAUAGAAGCUGAGAUCGACCAGUUUGAUCUCCUUGCAGUCCAAGGGACUCUCAAGAGUCUUCUCCAGCACCACGUUUCAAAAGCAUCAAUUCUUGCAAUCAAUACCUUCAGUCAAAUAUAGUCAAGUUCAGUAGACAGUCUUGAAGGUCAUACUGUUUUAACUUGUAUGUGGUAACCAUGAUAAGAUUGAGAAACUAUUGUAGAUUAUAAUUUAGCAAGCUAAGAAACACCUGCAAUGUGAUUUUUCAUGCAAAUUAACCUUUCUUUUUCAUGUUAAACACAUACUAUUCCAGAGGGACAGGGCCCAGCUAUUAUAGCUAGAGCACAACCUCAGUGUGGGCUGGUACUCAGCAGGAGCACUGAUGGGGCUGUAAUGGUUACUGAAAUACUCCUAAACUGGUAGAUAAAAGCUAUGCCCUGAGCUCCCCAGAUUCAAUCGGCCCCACCCUGGCCACUUUGCUGUGACCUGCCAACUUUCCCACAAUUCAGCAAC
This is a long non-coding RNA of Bubalus bubalis (water buffalo), 718 nucleotides long. RefSeq lists it as uncharacterized. The record is from RefSeq and is a predicted model, not a curated record. Lineage: Eukaryota; Metazoa; Chordata; Mammalia; Artiodactyla; Bovidae. The transcript has 3 exons.